Molecule: long non-coding RNA, 1444 nt
Organism: Rosa rugosa (rugosa rose)
Lineage: Eukaryota; Viridiplantae; Streptophyta; Magnoliopsida; Rosales; Rosaceae
Exons: 4
Source: RefSeq, a predicted model, not a curated record
CUGGUAAUAGCUUUGAUGAACUGGUAAUAGCUGAUGAUGAUGAUUGAUAGGCUGAUGCCAAAGUUUAGGGCUAUGAUGGGUACAACACCAGAUGGGCGCGGUUCUUAUUGCAUCAUAUCUUUUCUCUGGGAUACAGGGCAGCCUUGCUAUUAAAACUAAGGAACUUCAGGACUCGAGUUCGUUCUGCUAUCUUGGGUUACCUAUUCAUAUUCAGAGUUAAUUAUUAAUUACUCUUUGCACUUUUUCAAUUUUUAAUGGCGUUGGUUUUGAUCUUAUACUCUGUUCGUCAGUUUUCUUGUUCCAAAUUUGUUCCUUGUUUUGGUAUUUCAUCAUAUUAAUCUUGCGUUUUGUGGUUAUAUUAUUAUAAGUGGAUCAUUCAGUUUGUUGUUGGUUUUGAGUUUGGGUUUGUAUGCUGCAUAUUCGCUAUUCAAACAAACAGAUUUGAAAUUUUCAUGCUUGCAACUAAGAUGCAUGACCUAUGUUUAUGCAGGCACGAGUGGGAGGUGGGUGCACACAUACAUGUAGUGGGAAGUUAACCGUUUUUGGCGUAUAAUUCAAUAAUUGUUUGGCAGGCAGUGAUUCCAACCUGUAGAGGCUUCAAGGUUGAGAAGUAAAAUCCAGAAGUUACUCAAGGAAGAAUUUCAAAAUGCAUCCAAGUCUAACUGCUCUAAAGAAUAUUCUCCUCUGAAUGAUGCUUCUGAUGAAUGAAUUGACAUGUGGGAGCCUUUCUGAAUCUGCACACGGUGCAUAUUGUCCAACCGGUCAAUCAGUCAAUCAACCGUGAAAAUGUUCUUUUGAGUUUAGUAACAGGAAAAAUUAGUCUGAUUUUGAUUUCGAAUUUCAUGAAAGAUAGGUAAUACCAUUGCUUAGGACAAGGCAUAGAUCUUAGCCAUUUACAUUACUGACCAUUUUUGGAGAGUUAGAAUCCUUCUCUAGGAUGAGGCUUCAACUGUAUAGUAGAAAACAAAAACAGUGAUGGUGGACUUUUCUAGCUUUAUAAAAGAAGAAUGGUGCUAUCUGGAUCAAGAAGUUGAUAUUUCAAAUCUAACAGUUUCAGACUAUUGGAAACGACUUCCUGACCAUGUUGAGGAGAAGAAACUUGUGGUAAUUUCCGUCCUCAAUGCCAUAUAUUACACACCCUAUCUUAUGGAAUCAUCAUUAGUUCACUCACAUUUGCCUUAGUCAUAGUUGUCAACUUUAAUUAAGACCAUAAAGCUCUUGAACUUUAUUCUUGAACUUCAAAUUUAGCGUUGCUAAUAAGUUGGAAUUCUGUUAAGAGCUAUAACAUACUCAAGUAUCUCAAAAUGCCAUGAUUUGUUGGGGUUUACUUGGUUUAAAGAUUACCUCUUUCAUUUUCCCCCAGGUCCCACAACAGAAAAAUGACUAUGAUUGUGGUCUCUUUGUACUCUUCUUUAUGAAAUGCUUUAUAGAAGAGGCCCCUAAA